This 236-nucleotide non-coding RNA is filed under the name Tripos fusus. Lineage: Eukaryota; Dinophyceae; Gonyaulacales; Ceratiaceae. The record is from RNAcentral.
GAAGCCCAUGGUUUGAUGGUCUGCUAUGAUGGCAGCAUACGUGGGUGGGGUUAUAACCGCCAGAAGCAGGCCAUUGGUGACGACUCCGAUGACACCUUUGUGAAGCCGUCCUUCGUCGAGGACAUGCCAGAAGGUUUCAAAGGCCACAGCGUUGCUGUUGGUGGAGCGCAGAGCUACGCGAUUCUGAAACCCCCCGGCACCUAAGCUUCCAGCAAAAACUCGGAUGGUGAUGGCGC